Molecule: long non-coding RNA, 2666 nt
Organism: Brassica rapa (field mustard)
Lineage: Eukaryota; Viridiplantae; Streptophyta; Magnoliopsida; Brassicales; Brassicaceae
Source: RefSeq, a predicted model, not a curated record
AAAAAAAUAAAGUUAAAUUUUUUUAACAUAAAUAGUCAUUUAAAAUGAAAUACGAUAAAUAAAGAUAAAAUUUUUAAGUCUUUUAUAAAAUAAAACACAAAUAUAUGAAAAUGUGACAUUUACUAAAUAUUUGUCAAUUGAAAAAAAAAACAAAAAUAAACCCGCGCUUUGAAAGCGCGGGUCAAAAUCUAGUAUACUAUUAAAACUGAAGUACAAUUUAGAAUUAACGCUUGGUUCACCUUUAUGAUUACAACUUCAUGCCAUUGAGUUAAUAACUACAAAUUUAAUACAAUUAUCUUUUUUUUUUUGAACAACACAAUUAUCUAUUAUUAAUUAUAAAGUAACCUAUUAAUUAUCCAGUUUUGUUUACUUAAUGCAAGUGUGUUGUUCGAGUCAUACAUUUGUCAUACCUGAUAUGAUAUUUAACCGUGUACAUUAGUCUUUACAAAUUGAAAAUUCUAAUUGGAUUAUAUUUUUGGUUUAGCAUACAAGUUCUAUCUACUAGCUAAUAUUGUAGUACAAUAAGCCAACCAAUAUUCUAUUUAUUAAACUAUUCCAGUGCUUCAUCUUAAGAUAAAACAUCUUACAAUCCGGUUUACCAUACAUGUUGUAAACAAAAAUAAUAUUGUAAAGGUAUGCUCAAAAUAUAUUCAAUAAAAUAUGGAUUAUAAUAUAGUUUAUAAAAUUUGACAAAACCAUACAUAACUACCCAUAUAAAACAUAACAUACAAUCUGAUAAAUAUAGAGAAAUUUAGAUUUUACAUCAUUUUCUUAACAAUAAAUUCUGCCAAAUCAUAAAUUAUAAUGCUUAAAAAACAAACUCAACGUAUUUGGGUUAUCAAAAUUUUGAUAUUUAUAUAAAAUAUUCCUAAAAUCUAGAAAACCAAUCUUACUUUUUAUUGAGCUAAUCUAGAAUAUAUAUAUAAAUAUAUAUAUAUAGACAAAAAUUAAAAUCGACAUUUAAUUCAUUACUCAUAAUACAAAUAUAUAUAUAUAUAUAUAUAUAUCUAUUUUUAACAAACACAAUAAUCAUUAUUUAUAAUUUAGUCAUAAAAUAUAGAUUACGAAAUAAUCUUUCUUAAUGUAUUCUAUAGCCGGAUAAAUAAAUAUCAAUAUUUGGCUUAUGGAAUCUUCAUUAGUUCAUAAUCAUCUUUGUUAGACAAAAGUGAAUUCAUCAUAAUCGAUUUGAAGUUUUGAACUUCUAAAAAAUCAGAAUAUUCCUUGACUGAAACUUCUAAGUCUGGCAAUAACUAUACUAUUAAAGCAAAAAAUUAGUUACAGAUUUUGACAUAUGUGUUUAUUCUUUGAUUUUUUUCUUAUUAUUUUAUUAUUCUAUUAACUCCUCAUGGGUUUAGUCUAUUAAUAGUUUAUUAAAAAUCAUUGUAUUUGUAAUGAUUUAAUGGCCCAUUCUAACGGUCCAAAUUUUAUUGAAAAUUUAGUUAAAUGUUAAAUGAAUUUUAAACUUAUGUUUUACUAAUCUAAAUAUAACAUAUUAAUAGUUCCAAAAUAUUAUUUUCCUUGAAUAACUCAUUUAUGUAUUUUCAUCAUACAUAUAAAAUCUAAUACUAAAUCUUGAAAUUAUAUUUUAUAAAGAGAUUUUAAAGUUAAUAAAAACUUAGUAACUAAUUGGGGAAAUUUUACUUAUACACUUUUUAUGAUACCACUUUUCAACUUUACCAUCAAUCAAAAAGCAUUUUCAAAAAUACCACAUUCAUUAAUGUGUAAAAGACAAUAUUGCCCUUAACUUAUCUUCAACUCAUUUCUCUCUCUCUCUCGUGAAUCUCCGUCCGUCGUCUAUCGUCUCUGUUCAGAUCCGCUGUUUUCCGUUCAGAUCCGCCGUCUCCGUUCAGAUUCGCCGUCUAUUCGCCGUCUCUGUCCUCCAGAUCCACCGUCUCUGUCCUAAACCGACGUCUUCGUCCAGAUUCGUCGUCUUCGUCCAGAUCCACGAAGCAAUCGAGAUCGAGACUCAAAACUUCAAAUGUUGAAUCCUCAGCAAGAAUCACAACCUAUUGCAGAGUCUGUUUCUUUUAGCAGCGAUAAAAAGUAUGAUAUAACGCAAGUGAAGGCUCCAUCUCAGCUGCAGAAAACGAUGUGUUAAGUAACUCAAUCAACUAAAAGACAAUUUAGAAAGGCUUAUAAGACAGUUUAUAAAGUUUGUUAAAUAAUUUAUAAGGUUUAUAAAUUCUGCACAAUUUUGAAGUUAACUACGAGGUAUUGUGAUACUUCAACAGAGCUACCAGACAAGCCAAAACUGAUCAUCCAACGUUCAAAUAUGAAUUAUGUUGAAAAUGAUUUUUUGUAUUUUAGGUAAGGAGGAAUUUAGUGAAAUUGAGAAUUCACACCUUGCGGAAGUGUUGUAGAACUAGCUAGAAAGAAUAACAUUCAAUUUUCAGGAGAACCUUAUGCAAAUAAGAUUAUUGAUGAAUGGGGGUAGAUCUAUGGUUCACUUUCUCAUAUCAACCAAUGGGGUUAGAUCUAUGAUUAUUGAUGAAUGUAAAUAAUUUAUAAAAGUUUAUAAAAAACGUUAUGAAAGCAUACAUUCAAUUUAUAAGGGUAUUAUAUGAGUUCCAUAGGUUUAUAAAUCAACUAAAAGAGUCUAUAACCAUUUAGAAAGCCUUAUAAAACAAUUUAUAAUGGUUUGUAUAAUAAUUUAUAAGGGUUUAUAA